Molecule: transfer RNA, 71 nt
Filed under: Loxodonta africana (African savanna elephant)
Lineage: Eukaryota; Metazoa; Chordata; Mammalia; Proboscidea; Elephantidae
Rfam family: tRNA
About the family: Transfer RNA (tRNA) molecules are approximately 80 nucleotides in length. Their secondary structure includes four short double-helical elements and three loops (D, anti-codon, and T loops). Further hydrogen bonds mediate the characteristic L-shaped molecular structure. tRNAs have two regions of fundamental functional importance: the anti-codon, which is responsible for specific mRNA codon recognition, and the 3' end, to which the tRNAs corresponding amino acid is attached (by aminoacyl-tRNA synthetases). tRNAs cope with the degeneracy of the genetic code in two manners: having more than one tRNA (with a specific anti-codon) for a particular amino acid; and 'wobble' base-pairing, i.e. permitting non-standard base-pairing at the 3rd anti-codon position.
Source: Rfam by way of RNAcentral
GCAUUGGUGGUUCAGUGGUAGAAUUCUCUCCUUCCGUGUGGGAGACCCAGCUUCGAUUCCUGGCCGAAGGA